This 502-nucleotide ribosomal RNA is filed under the name uncultured bacterium. RNAcentral's name for it is "partial 16S ribosomal RNA". It matches the Rfam family "Bacterial small subunit ribosomal RNA", at positions 28 to 507 of the family's 1533-position model. The record is from RNAcentral.
GACGAACGCUGGCGGCGUGCUUAACACAUGCAAGUCGAACGGUGAAGGGGUCUGCUUUUGUGGGCCCUGGAUGAGUGGCGAACGGGUGAGUAACACGUGAGUAACCUGCCCCCUUCUUCUGGAUAACCGCAUGAAAGUGUGGCUAAUACGGGAUAUUCUGGGUCUGUCGCAUGAUGGGUCUGGGAAAGAUUGCGCCUUUGGGUGUUUUUGGUGGGGGAUGGGCUCGCGGCCUAUCAGCUUGUUGGUGGGGUGAUGGCCUACCAAGGCGGUGACGGGUAGCCGGCCUGAGAGGGUGGACGGCCGCACUGGGACUGAGACACGGCCCAGACUCCUACGGGAGGCAGCAGUGGGGAAUAUUGCACAAUGGGCGCAAGCCUGAUGCAGCGACGCCGCGUGAGGGAUGGAGGCCUUCGGGUUGUAAACCUCUUUCGCCAGUGAAGCAGGCCUGCUCCUUGUGGGUGGGUUGACGGUAGCUGGAGAAGAAGCGCCGGCUAACUACGUG